This 286-nucleotide signal recognition particle RNA is filed under the name Pediculus humanus corporis (human body louse). RNAcentral describes it as "metazoan signal recognition particle RNA". It matches the Rfam family "Metazoan signal recognition particle RNA". Rfam says of the family: The signal recognition particle (SRP) is a universally conserved ribonucleoprotein. It is involved in the co-translational targeting of proteins to membranes. The record is from Rfam by way of RNAcentral. Lineage: Eukaryota; Metazoa; Arthropoda; Insecta; Psocodea; Pediculidae.
GCCGGGAGUUGUGGUGUCCUCCUGUAAUCCAACUACUCGGAGGUUGGGUAUAUAGGAUGUUUUAAGGUCGGGGGUUGUGGGAUUGGAUUUUUCAAGUUGAUUAGGCACCCGCUAAGGGUAAAUCGGAAACUUGGAUGCCUUGGGAGAGUCUGAGGUAGCCAGGUUGAGUCCGAAAAGGAGGGAAAAAUCGGUCUAAAAGUCUCACCGAGCUGAGAGUCGUGGGUUCAAAUUCUGGGAGUGGGAGUUCGAUUUCAGCUCGUCCAAACAAGAACGGAUUUGUACCUAU